UACGUAGGGUCCGAGCGUUGUCCGGAAUUAUUGGGCGUAAAGAGCUCGUAGGUGGUGUGUCGCGUCGGAUGUGAAAGCCCGGGGCUUAACCCCGGGUCUGCAUUCGGUACGGGCAUGCUGGAGUUCGGUAGGGGAGACUGGAAUUCCUGGUGUAGCGGUGAAAUGCGCAGAUAUCAGGAGGAACACCGGUGGCGAAGGCGGCGUCCUGGACCAACACUGACACUGAGGAGCGAAAGCCAGGGGAGCAAACGGG
This 253-nucleotide ribosomal RNA is filed under the name uncultured bacterium. Its description in RNAcentral is "partial 16S ribosomal RNA". It matches the Rfam family "Bacterial small subunit ribosomal RNA", at positions 524 to 776 of the family's 1533-position model. The record is from RNAcentral.